Myotis brandtii (Brandt's bat) is the source of this 76-nucleotide non-coding RNA. Lineage: Eukaryota; Metazoa; Chordata; Mammalia; Chiroptera; Vespertilionidae. The record is from Rfam.
GGCAGUUCUCGGGUGAUGCACCCCGGAAUUGGGCUUCCUCCUCUCUGGUUCCGGAGUGCGUCACCAGAGAAUAAGA